Molecule: non-coding RNA, 21 nt
Organism: Caenorhabditis elegans
Lineage: Eukaryota; Metazoa; Nematoda; Chromadorea; Rhabditida; Rhabditidae
Source: Ensembl
UUUUCCACGAGCGGUACACAC